This 575-nucleotide ribosomal RNA is filed under the name uncultured Neocallimastigomycetes. RNAcentral describes it as "partial large subunit ribosomal RNA". It matches the Rfam family "Eukaryotic large subunit ribosomal RNA", at positions 202 to 629 of the family's 3401-position model. Lineage: Eukaryota; Fungi; Neocallimastigomycota; Neocallimastigomycetes. The record is from RNAcentral.
UCAUAGAGGGUGAGAAUCCCGUAUUUGACCAUUAUUUUCAGCUGUGUGAUACACUUUCAAAGAGUCGGAUUGUUUGGGAAUGCAGUCCAAAAUGGGUGGUAAAUUUCAUCUAAAGCUAAAUAUUGGCGAGAGACCGAUAGCGAACAAGUACCGUGAGGGAAAGAUGAAAAGAACUUUGAAAAGAGAGUUAAACAGUACGUGAAAUUGUCAAAAGGGAAGCGUUUGACACCAGUGUUGUUUUCUCGAAAAUCAAUUAAAAAAAGUUGGAUUUUGUGUUUGUAUGACCUUAACAGCUUCUUUCACUUUUUUCCUGCUUUUUUUAAUGCACUUUUCGUUUAACAAGUCAACAUCAGUUUCUUUUGUUGUAAAAAGGUCAUUGGAAGGUGGCUUUCUUUUCGGAGAAAGUGUUUAUAGCCUUUGACUCCUGCAAUCGGAGAGACUGAGGUCUGCAGCGUAGAUCCUUCGGGGUUAGAUACAUUUGUGCUAAGUUAUAGCUUUUCAUAGACAACUUGUUGACUAUGUUUAGUCAUGUAGCUUACUCGCUUAUGCUAUUUUACCUACGCUUAGGAUGUUGA